UCCCUGGUGGUCCAGUGGUUAGGACUCCAUUUUCUCACUGCUGAGGGCCCAGGUUCAAUCCCUGGUCAGGGAC
RNAcentral lists this transfer RNA (73 nucleotides) under Ovis aries (sheep). It matches the Rfam family "tRNA". From Rfam's summary of the family: Transfer RNA (tRNA) molecules are approximately 80 nucleotides in length. The record is from Rfam by way of RNAcentral. Lineage: Eukaryota; Metazoa; Chordata; Mammalia; Artiodactyla; Bovidae.